This 467-nucleotide ribosomal RNA is filed under the name uncultured bacterium. Its description in RNAcentral is "partial 16S ribosomal RNA". It matches the Rfam family "Bacterial small subunit ribosomal RNA", at positions 28 to 507 of the family's 1533-position model. The record is from RNAcentral.
GAUGAACGCUGGCGGCGUGCUUAACACAUGCAAGUCGAACGGAAAGGCCUCUUUCGGGGGGUACUCGUGUGGCGAACGGGCGAGUAACACGUGAGUAACUUGCCCUUGUCUUUGGGUUAACUUCAGGCAACUGGGGCUAAUACCGGCUAGGAGCUCCUGUUGCCCGGAGGGGGCUGGAAAGUUUCGGCGGCUUGGUGUGGCCUCGCGGUGUAUCCGCUUUUUGGUGGGGAGAUGGUUUGCCAAGGCCUUGCCGGGUAGCCGGUCAGUGGCGGUGAUCGGCGGCAUUGAGACUGAGGUACGGCACAGAUACCUACGGGAGGCAGCAGUGGGGAAUCUUGCACAAUGGGUGGAGGCCUGGUGCUGCAAGGCCGUGUGCGGGAUGACGCCCUUCGGGGUGUAGACCGCUUUCGCACAUGACGAAGCAUUGUGUGACGGUAGUGAGUAAAGAAGCACCGGCUAACUACGUG